Molecule: ribosomal RNA, 277 nt
Filed under: Escherichia coli
Lineage: Bacteria; Pseudomonadati; Pseudomonadota; Gammaproteobacteria; Enterobacterales; Enterobacteriaceae
Description: partial 23S ribosomal RNA
Rfam family: Bacterial large subunit ribosomal RNA
Source: RNAcentral
CUGCUCCUAGUACGAGAGGACCGGAGUGGACGCAUCACUGGUGUUCGGGUUGUCAUGCCAAUGGCACUGCCCGGUAGCUAAAUGCGGAAGAGAUAAGUGCUGAAAGCAUCUAAGCACGAAACUUGCCCCGAGAUGAGUUCUCCCUGACUCCUUGAGAGUCCUGAAGGAACGUUGAAGACGACGACGUUGAUAGGCCGGGUGUGUAAGCGCAGCGAUGCGUUGAGCUAACCGGUACUAAUGAACCGUGAGGCUUAACCUUACAACGCCGAAGGUGUUU